AUUUUUCUUUUAUAAUACUCUCCUAAUACAUGCAAGUCGAACGCAUUCUCGUUUUAGAUUGACGGUGCUUGCACCAGAUUGAAAAGACAUUUGAAUGAGUGGCGGACGGGUGAGUAACACGUGGGUAACCUGCCCAAAAGUGGGGGAUAACAUUUGGAAACAAAUGCUAAUACCGCAUAAAAGUUAGAACCGCAUGGUUCUAAUUUGAAAGAUGGUUUCGGCUAUCACUUUUGGAUGGACCCGCGGCGUAUUAGUUAGUUGGUGAGGUAAUGGCUCACCAAGACAAUGAUACGUAGCCGAACUGAGAGGUUGAUCGGCCACAAUGGGACUGAGACACGGCCCAUACUCCUACGGGAGGCAGCAGUAGGGAAUCUUCCACAAUGGGCGCAAGCCUGAUGGAGCAAUACCGCGUGAGUGAAGAAGGGUUUCGGCUCGUAAAACUCUGUUGUUGGAGAAGAACGUAUGUGAUAGUAACUGAUCAUGUAGUGACGGUAUCCAACCAGAAAGCCACGGCUAACUACGUGCCAGCAGCCGCGGUAAUACGUAGGUGGCAAGCGUUAUCCGGAUUUAUUGGGCGUAAAGCGAGCGCAGGCGGUUUUUUAAGUCUGAUGUGAAAGCCCUUGGCUCAACCAAGGAAGUGCAUCGGAAACUGGAGAACUUGAGUGCAGAAGAGGACAGUGGAACUCCAUGUGUAGCGGUGAAAUGCGUAGAUAUAUGGAAGAACACCAGUGGCGAAGGCGGCUGUCUUGUCUGUAACUGACGCUGGAGCUCGAAAGCAUGGGUAGCGAACAGGA
Molecule: ribosomal RNA, 794 nt
Filed under: Paucilactobacillus oligofermentans
Lineage: Bacteria; Bacillati; Bacillota; Bacilli; Lactobacillales; Lactobacillaceae
Description: bacterial SSU rRNA
Rfam family: Bacterial small subunit ribosomal RNA
Source: RNAcentral